UCCCCCUUAUCUCCUCAGGCUGGAUCAUGUCAAAAAGGCUGUCAUGGGUUCUCUUUCAUCGGUGCAGCCUUGGUAAUGCUGAAGUAUUUGCUGAAACUCAGAGGUUGGUAUGCUCAAGGAACUAUACCUACAGAUAAAAAAAUAAUCAAGAUAUGUAAUGAAUGACAAAAAAUAAAUGUAGAAUAUGAUGAUUCUGUUUUUUGAAUUAUCAUUACCAUUAGGACAAUUGAGCAGCCAAAGAGGUAAGACUGUCUUCAACCCUUGUCAACCCUUUUUGCCUGACAUGGCUCCUCUGACUUUAGACAUUCAAUAAUCACUGGGAGCACCUGGAUGGUGAAGGUCUUGAUGGCAUCAGACUAGGCUAAAGCUCUCAACUGCAAAAGGUCAUCCAGGUAGGAGAUAAGAAAUUUUGAACACAUGUCGUUUGGCCUUGGAAACAAGAACAUCGCAAACAUAUAGGCUAUCCAAAGCCUCACAGUAUCCUCGAUAUCCUCCUUCUCUUCAGUAUCUUUCAAAAGACCAACAUACCUCCCAAUCCGUUUAUGCUAGAGAUCCAUGUUGGUCUCAAAUCUAUUAAAAAGCCUCUCCUUCAAAACUUUGAAGGCUGAAACCUUCUUUCCAUGGGAGGGAAGACUGAUAACAAGUGCUACUUUUGCCACAUUAAAAUUAAUUAUCUUUCUUGAAAAAUAAAAUUUAUCACCGCCCUCAUAACAUUUUAUGAUAUCAGUAAGGAGUGCCCCAUCAACUACAAAGGGCUCCAUGUCGAUGAAGGUUCCAAAUGGAGUCUGCCUGAUAAGCUCCACAUGAGUAGCAGAAAACUUUAUUUUUCGGACAUUAUGCACGUAUACUAAAGGUUUGCAUGUGUUUUUAAAGAUUUGAAGGGCCCUGCCUCUCGAAACAGUGGAGACCCCUGAAAAUUUCACUAUAACAAAAACAAUGGAAUACGAAGUCAUAGAUGGUUAAUCGAAGGGGUAAAAGUUAACAUAUUUGUUAUCUAUUUGGCUCAGACUUAACCCUCCUAUUUCACCAGAAGAAGAAAGGGUAUCCUGACUUCCGUAAGGAACCAUUGCAUUGCUUUCUUCCUCCAUCUACUGCUUGCCUUGGCCUUCUUGUCUUGGAUGCCUCGUGAUCAUAUACGUUCUAGUCGACAUCGAAUAAAAAAGGAAAAACAAUGACAUAGGAGAGGGAUUGCUAGGAAGGGAGCGAAGGGAGAGUAAACGAUGGAGUGAAGGGUUUGCGGGUAGAUGAAAUGGGGUUUUCAAUUUCUUCCACUUCCUUUUUUUACCGUCUCAGGGCAAAAUUGUCAUUUCAACCCCAUUGAAAAGAUUGUUAUUGAUAGAUCUGAUCGAUGCUCGAGGCAGUUGAGUUAAUUGGUAUGAAUCGUCUUGAAGCAUUGGUAAAAAAAAUGGCGCAAGACAUAAAAAAUAGCAUUAAGUCAUAAAAUAUUGGCAGAAGUCGUGAAACAGUGCUAGAAAUCAUAUAAAUUUGUCAAAAGUCAUACAAACUUGUCGAAAGCCAUCAAACAUUGUUGAAAGUCAUUAAACAGUGUCGGAAGCAAUAAAGAAGUCAUAAAAUAUUUUUGGGAUAUAUUAAACAGCGCCGAAAGUCAUCAAACAUUGCUGGAAGUCGUCAAAUAGAGCCGAAAGCAAUGGAAAAAGUCAUGAAACAGUAUUGAAAGUCAUAAAACAGAGCUGAAAGACAAAAAAAAUUGGAGGAAAUCAAUAAAACCAUCCUAAAGUCAUAAAAUAGUGAAUGAUGUUGUGGAACAUUUUCGAGAGAUAUUAAACUAUACAAGAAGUCAUAAAAUAUUUUCGAAAGUCAUCAUACGUCAGAGGUCACAAAACAGUGCUAGAAGAGAUAAAAAACUGACGGAAGUCAUAAAAAAUAGUAUAAGUAUAUUAUUUGACUUCUGACACUAUUUUUUGACUUCCAAAAUUAUUUUAUGAAUUCUGACAAUAUUUCAUGACUAUCUAGAAUGGUUCAUGACUUCUAGGCUCUUUUAUAACUUUCGAUGAUGUUUUAUAACUUUCAGUACUAUUUCACGACUUCCGACACUAUUUCAUGACCUCCAGCAUUAUUUCAUGAAUUUAUGCACCUUUUUUAUGACUUUAAAAAUUAUUUUAUGACGUCUUAUACUAUUUUAUGAUUUCUGAUAAUGCUUCAAGACAUCCAAUACUGCUUUAUGACAUCUUACACUGUUUCAUGAUUUUCUAUUCUGUUUUAUGACUUUCUAUACUGUUUCAUGACUUCCUGCAUUAUUUCAUGAAUUUCUGCAUUGUUUCAUGAUAUAAAAAUUUUCAUACAUAAAGUACGAAAAUUUAGUUCCAAAAUAAAUAUUUUAUUUAUAAUAAUUACAUAAAACGAAUCGAUUGACGAUCAUACAAACAAACAAAGAGAAAGAGAAACAACAGAGACUGAUCCUACUCGCUUGAUUCGACAUGGACUUGAUUCGACAUGCAACAUUAGUUUGGCAUAAAGUAAAUAUCUGAAUUGCAUAUUUGUCAGAAGGUCUGUGUCUGGUGUCAAAUCCCACAUGUUCUGAAAAUGUGAGAAAAACAAACAAAGAGAGGAAAACAAUAGAGGCCGACUCUACGCCUCGCCCGAUGAAAGUCCCCUUGUUUUUCUUUCAUCAAGGAGAAAAUCAAAACUUUGAUGCACCAUCACCUUUCCCGCAAUGAAAGUGUCUACGCUGGUGACCUCCUCUCCACUUAUGACAAAGGCCUCGAACUCUCCGACUCCAUGUUCCCCAUCCUUGAAGAGAACAUUGAGUAGAAGAAAGAUGUGGUAUCACACACUUCCCAUAAGCGAAAAGACCGUUUUCAAUAUCUCCCAAGCCAAGCUAGAAUCUACAAGAUGACUCAAUUCCUUUAGACAAUAAGCGACAGUCCUGAUAGGAAAGUUGGGCUCCUCCUCUAGUGAAGAGCUUACAAUGAAAGGAGCCGCCCCAUCGCACCAUAGCACGCAAGAAGACUUUUUUCUUUACUCUGAGACGGAUGUGGGGGGGGGGUCUCACCCUAUCAAAAGAGGAGCCAGAUUCAAUGCCUUGUAACAACUACUAUUAACCAGCGACAUGUGUGGAAUGGGGGUUGGUCGUGGGCACCGCCAAAGCUAACACGCACUUAAUUCGGGUAUGAGUGGAGCGGUCGUACGGUUUCACCUCCCCUCUCUCGGUCUUCAAGAUGACGUGCUAUCAAUAUUGAACAUAUAUCGAAAUUAUGGCAUCCAUUUUAGGUUAGUAAAUCCUCACAAAAAUAAUUUUUAGGAGAUAUCGAGUAUUAUUUUAUGAUCUUCUUUUAUGACUUCCGAUACUAUUUUAUAACUUUUUAUACUUUUUUAUCACUCCUUGUACUAUGAAAUGAUUUUUUUAUCAUUUUAUGACUUCCAGCAAUUUUGAUAUUUUCUUACAUUAUUUUAUAACUUCCGACAAUACUUCAAGACAUCCUAUACUAUUUUAUAACUUCCUCCGUUAUUUUAUAACUAUACUAUUUUAUAAUUUUUUGUACUAUUUCAUGAUAUCCUGCACUAUUUUAUAACUUUCUCUACUGUUUCUAUUGUUUCAUGACAUCUGACAUUAUUUUAUAAUUUCAUUUACUGUUUCUUGACUUUCAAGGAUGUUUCAUAACUUUCAACAAUAUUUUAGGACUUUCUGCAAUAUCUUAUGACUUCAACAUUGUUUGAUGAUUUUUCAUUCUGUUUUAUAAUUUUCUGUACUGUUUUAUGACUUCUUGUAUUGUUUCAUAAAUUCCGACACUGUUUCAUGAUAUAAACAUUUUCAUACACAAAGUAAAAAAAUUCAGUUCCAAAAUAAAAAUUUUAUUUAUAAUAAUUAUAAGAAACGGAUUGUAACGAUUGACGAUCAUAUAAAUAAAAAGAGAAAGAGAAACAAUAGUGGCCAUCAUAUAAACAAACAAAGAGAAAGAGAAAUAACAGAGGCUGAGUCUACUUUCCAUCUGAUAAAAAAUUCCUUUUCUUUCUUUCGUCAGGGAGAAAAUUGAAACUUGAGCGUACCAUCAUCUUUCAUAACUUCUUUUCAUGACUUCCUACACUGUUUCAUGACUUUCUGUAUUAUUUUUUGAUAUCUGACACUAUUUUAUGACUUUCGUUAAUGUUUAAUAACUUUAGGCACUUUUUCAUGAUUUCUAGCAUUGUUUCGCAACUUUCGGCACUAUUUUGUGACUUCCACUAGUAUUUCAUGUCUCCAUGCACUUUGUUAUAACUUUUGGAGUUAUUUUAUGACUUCUUAGUCUAUUUUAUGACUUUCGGCGGUGCUUCAGGACAUCUUACAUUGUUUUAUAACUUUUUUCAAUAUUUAUGACUAUACUGUUUUAUGAUUUCCUCCAUUAUUUUUUGACAUCUAGCACUGUUUUAUGACUUCUGCAAAUAUUUCAUGACUUUUUCAUUAGGCCGUCAUAUAAGAUUCUAAGAUGUCAUAAAAAGGUAAAUAAAAAUCAUACGAACAUAUAGGAUGUCAUAAAAAUUAAAUCAGAAGUCAUUAGACUGUACACGAUGUUAUAUAAAAUAUGAAAGAAUUAUGAAGGAACGGAGCUUGAGGGAUCAUAAAAUUAUGACUUCCCAAUAAGAGAUUCGAAGAGUCAAUUAUGGAUGAAUCCCAAAGCGACGAAGCAUCCCUCAUGGAUUCUCCAGAUGCAAUUAAAUCUAUAAAAGAGUCAAUGAAGGAUAGCAAGCAAGGGGCAUGACUCCCAAUAAGUUGUUUUACAUGUGGCAAAAUCUGGUGAUUCAUUGGCCGGAUCUAUGUCAUCCGUGUUCUCUAUAAAUAGACUAUUUGUUUCUAGAGUUUUUCAUAAAAGGCACUAGAAAGAAAUUUAUCUUACUCGUGUUGAGGAAUGGAGCCAUCAGUGAAGCCAUCCUUUUGCGCAAUCAAGGAGGUAGUGAGGAAGAGAAUUCGCUCUGAGAGCGAUGAGUCAUCCUCCAAAAGACAAAGAACUCUCCAGCCUCCUGUUCCUAUCUCCUUUUCACAACUGUCUGAGCCACCACCGAUUGGGUUGCCACUGCCCUUUCAGGCUCCCCUCCUUUCUGGCCGAGCCCAACCUUUUGCUAGCAAGAUGUCAAUCCAUAUUUCCGACGACAUCAAAACCUCCUGCAUUGAGGAGUACAAGGCUUCGACUGAUUUUUAAGAGGAAAUCAUGGAGGCAUCCUCAGUCGGUUUCAUCUAUGGCUUCAGCAACUGCAAGCGUGCCUACAGAGGAUGGUCCCAAAGUUUGACCUGACAUGCCUGUUCCCAAAAAAUAUGAUGAGGAGGUCGGAGAGUUUUUAUCGGAUGAAAAGUAGUUUUUUCUCCUUCCACUAUCCUUUUUUUUUACUAUAUAUAUAGUAAAUUAUUAUAUAAUGAAUAGUUAGUUUUAAGAAUUCUCUGGUAUUUAUAAUGGUUUGUUCAUUGCACGACCAAGGGCCCCUCCGUCGUCAAGUCAACAAUUGGAAAGAAACAUGCAAACAAAUUUCACAAUACCAUAAUAGUAUAAUAGGAUGACAUAAUGAUGUAGAAGAAUAUUAUAAAUACUGAUUUUGAACUACAAUGUCAUAAAUUUUUACCCAAAAUAUUAGGAAGUCAUAAAAUAGCAUAAUGCAAGAGGUUAUAAAACAGCAUUGGAAGUCAUAAAAUAGUACACAAAAUCAUGAAACAUUGUAAGAUGUCAUAAAACAAUGGAAAAAGUCAUGAAACAAAGUCGGAAGUCAUAAAACAAUGCAUGAUGACCGCGAGAGAAGUUAUAAAAUAGUGCAGGAUAUAACAGUGAGGGAAGUUAGAAAAUAUUAAAGUCAUAUAAUAGUGAGGAAAGUUAUAAAACAGUAUAGGAUGUCCUGAAGUAUUAUUAAAAAUCAUAAAACAGUGUAGGAUAUCAUCAAAUAAUUUCAGAAGUCAUAAAAAAAUGCAUAGAGUCAUGAAAUAAUGCUGGAAGUCAUAAAACAUUAUCGAAAAUCAUAAAAUAGUGCAAAAAUCAUGAAACAUUUGUGGAAGUCAUAAAAUAGUGUUGGAUGUCAAAAAAUAAUAGAGGAAAUCAUAAAACAAAAUAGUAAUUUAUGAAACAAUAUAGAAAGUCAUAAAAUUGUAGAUAACUGGAUGCCAUAAAACAGAACAGGAAGUCAUGAAACAAUACCAAAAGUUAUGAAAUAGUGUAGAAAGUCAUAAAAUAGUGCUGAAAGUCAUAAAACAUAACACCAAGUCAUGAAGCAAUUGAUGAAGUCAUAAGAUAUUGCAGGAAGUCAUAAAAUAUCAUCAGAAAUCAUCAAACAGCUUCGAAAGUCAUAAAAUAAUAAAUGAAUUCAUUAAACGAUGUCAGAUGUCAUGAAAUAGUAGAAAUAGUAAAGGAAGUUAUAAACAGUGCAAAAUGUUAUAAAACAGUGGAGGAAGUCAUAAAAUAGGAUAGAAAGUCUUGAAAUAAUAUCGAAAGUCAUAAAACAAUAUAGAUAGACAUUGUCCGAUGUUAUGAAAGAGUGAAAGAAGUCAUAAAAAAGAACAAAAAGUCUUGAAAAAAUGCCGAAAGUCAUAAAAUAUUGAUGGAGUUUAUAAAAUGAUGAAUCAAAUAGGAAACAGUGCUGGAAGUCAUAAAUUAGUAGAGGAAGUCAUAACACAGUAGCAUCGGAUGUCAUGAAGCAAUAUCAAAAUUGAUAAAAUAGUGGAAGAAUUGAUAAAAUCAUAUCGAAAGUAAUAAAACAGUGCCGAAAGUCAUGAAAUAUUGGUGGAAGUCAUAAAACAGUGGCGAAUAUCCAAAAAAAUAGUGAGAAAAGUCAUAAAAUUAAUAUAGGAAGACAUCAAACAUUACUGGAAGUCAUAAAAUAAUAUGAAAAGUCAUAAUACAGAAUGAAAAGUGAUAAAACAGUACAAAAAGUCAUAAAUAUUGGAGGAAAUCAUAAAACAGUAUAGAAGGAAGUCACAAAAAAGUAUAUGAUAUCAGAAAACAGUAGAGGAAUUGAUAAACCGGUGUUAGAAGUUAUAAAAUAGCGCAGAGUCUCAUGAAACAAUGUUGGAUGUCAUGAAACAGUGAAGAAAGUCAUAAAGUAAAACAGAAAGUCAUGAAACAACAUCGGGUGUCACAAAACAAUGCAGAGAGUCAUAAAACAGUGCUGGAUAUCAUAAAACAGAAAAAAAAAUAAUGAAACAGAGCAGAAAGUCAUGAAACAAUAUCAAAAAUCGUGAACGAAUGCAGAAAGUUAUAAAACAGUGCAGGAUAUUAUGAAACAAUGACAGAAUUCAUAAAGAAGUAUCGGGAGUCAGAAAACAGUGGAGGAAGUCCUGAAAUAGCAUCGAAAAUUAUGAAACAGCACCAACGAUCAUGAAACAUUGACAGAAUAUCCUAUGACUAUAGUAAGUCAUAAUCCGCACCGAGGAUGUCAUGAAGUGAAGGGAGUAUGGAAUGUCAUUCUGCUACCAAAAAAAAGAUAUUUGUAUGGGCUCUAAGAUGUCAUAAAAGGAUCAUGAAAAGUCAUAAUCGACUCAGAGGAUGCCACAAUCAACUAUACAACCAUCCUUAGCUCUAGGAUGUCAUACUCGAUUUGCGGGAUGUCAUAAUCGAGGGACGUGAUGGCAUAUUUGUCUAAAAAGAUGCCAUCGAGAGCUAUUUCGACACUAGGACCAGAGAUCAAAAUUGAAGACAGAACUCGAUGCAGAACCUAAUCGAGACAAUGAUUUCAUCUAACUAUCCACAAAGACGCUGUAAUAAAUAAACUACUGAAAAAAAAAGAGGAGGCCAUGGCAAUCGGGGUUCAAAAUCAAAGUCGACGUGGAACCUAGUCAAGGCAUUAACUUUGUCUAACUAUCCAUGAAAAUACUGUGAUACAUAAACUACUUUAAAAAAAGAGGGGGCGGCAAUGAUGUUUUUACUUCCUGACCGGCCCAACAUACUGUCAUCGAGUAGUUUUGGAAAAAAAAUGCUGCCCAAAAUCCUCUAUCACGUGAAACAGUCAGCAGGAUUGACUUAGGAUGCCUCGAAGCUCAGAGAGGAAGGAGAGCGACUCUGAGGGUGGAGAGAGAGUGGCAAUAUUUGAAAUGAUAAAGCGAGAGACCAUGACAAGCCAAAAAAAUUGCUUCCGAUGGUGGAAAAGGGCAUUUUCAUCUGAAAAAAUUUGAAAAAAUGGACUGUGAUGGGCAUUUAAUGAAUGUCACGAUUGGGAGGACAGGCACCUCCAUUUUCUUGAUGCAGAAUGAGACCCCAUCCCAUCUUCCAUGCAGGCGCCAUGCAGUCCAAUCACAGCAUCCAACGCACUCCACAUCGAAUUUAUUACACUGGGGGCGGUGCACAAAGAAUUACUCUUGUUAUAAAUGUUUGUGAGAGACCAUUAAGGGCCCAAUAGGAUAGGGCUUGCAUCUUUCGCGGGAAAGAAGGAUUCACCUUCCUUCGCAUGAAUCCAUCAUCGGAUCGCCAAAUGAUCAGUUAGAGAUCUAUGUGAUGAAUAUGAAGAGGAAAAGAUUUUCUUUUUAUUUUUCUUCAUAUCCAAGAGGGUAUACAAAAGGCCUAUAAAUACAGAUAUGUAGACCCAAAUAUAGACAGAGAAUAACAAGAAUAUGCCAAAAAAUAACAUCCAAGGAUCCUUAAUUAGACAUCUUUCUAAUUAGAUCCAAUCCUUCCAAUACUCUCCCUCAAGAUGAGGCGAAGAUAUCUCGAAGCCCCAUCUUGUCAAUCAAUCUAAAAAAAGAGGAUAAGCUAAGCCCUUUGAUCCGAAUAUCCGCCACCUGACCAGAUGACCGAAUGAAGGUAAUACGGAUCUGACCCUGAUCAGUCUUCUCCUUGAUAAAGUGACGGUCAAUCUCGAUGUGUUUGGUACAAUCAUGCUGUACCAGAUUGCUUACAAUCUCAAUUGCCGCCUUGCUGUCACAAUACAACCGAAAAGAAAACUUGUUCAGAAGUUGUAACUCCUGAAGUAGCUUCUAAAGCCAGAGAAAUUCACAUAUGCCUAGGGCCAUUGCUCUAUACUCAGCUUCUGCUGAUGAUCUAGCUACCACUGACUGAUUCUUGCUCCUCCAGAUAAUUAAAUUACCCCUACAUAUGUGCAAUACCCAGAGAUAGAUCGCAUAUCAUCCAGUGAUCUAGUUCAAUCUGCAUCAGUAAAUCCCUCUACCUGAAAAGUGUUGUGUCAUGAGAACAACAAACCACGAUCAGGACAUCCUUUCAAGUAGCGCAAUACUCUGAAAGCUCCCUCCAUAUGAGAUUCUCGUGGAUCAUGCAUGUACUGACUGAUGACACUGACAGCAUAGGCUAUGUCAGAUCUCGUAUGUGAGAUAUAUAUCAACCUUCCAACCAGUUGCUGGUACCUUCCUCAAUCAACAGGAGCUCCACCAUCUGUCACUAUCUGAUAAUUCUGGUUUAUCAGGGUAGCAGCAGGCUUAUACCCCAACAUCCCAAUCUCAAAAAGCAAAUCUAGUACAUAUUUUCAUUAUGACGGAAAAAUUUUUCUGGAUGAUCGUGCAACUUCUAUACCCAGAAAAUACCUUAGUGGACCCAGGUCUUUCACCUCGAAUGCUUACUUCAGUUUUUCUUUGAGUUGCUUAAUCUCAUAAUGGUCAUCUCCUGUUAUUACAAUAUCAUCAACAUAAACCAAGAGUAUAGUUUUCUUUCCCUUGAAAUGCCUAUAGAACAGAGUAUCAUCUGCAUUACUCUGUCUAUAUCUUAUUCCUUUCACAGUCCGACUGAAUCGAUCAAACUAGAUCUAAGGAGACUGUUUGAGGCCAUAUAGUGAGUGUUUUAACUUGCAGACUUUUCUAGCAGUUGCUAUGGUCUCAAAUCCUGAUGGCAUAUGUAUGUAUACCUCCUCUUGAAGAUCCCCGUCAAGAAAUACAUUCUUCACAUCUAACUAAUGUAAUUUCCAGUCAAAGUUAGUAGCACAUGAUAUCAAUGUUCAAACAAAGUUCAUCUUGGCCACUGGAGCAAAGAUCUCAUCAUAGUCUACCUCAUAUGUUUGAGUGUAGCCCUUUGUUACCAGCCAAGCUUUGUAUCUUUCUACCUUACCUUCUGGAGUCUGCUUUACGGUGUACACUCACUUACACCCCACAGGAUGCUUAUUAGCUGGCAGAGUGACUAGAUCGCAUGUCCGAUUUUUGGAUAAAGCAUUCAUCUCUUCUAACAUUGCUUCCUUCCAUUUAGGUUCUGCCAUAGCUUUUUGUCAGAUAUUAGGAAUACAGAUGGAGUUUACUGCAGCUAUAAAGUUUUGAUAAGAUAGAGACAUAUUCUUAGAUGAAACAUAGUUAGCUAUAUCGUAACGAUAACGAGCAGGAGGAACAAUUGAGCGAGUACCCUUCCGCUUUGCAAUAGGAAUAUCAAGAUCAGAAUUGAAAGGAAUAGUAGAAAUAAUAUUACCAUUACGGUUAGAGAACUCUGAAAAAGAAGAUUCUGGAGAAGAAGCUUCAAGCGGUGGAGGCAUCUAGACAGUUGGUGGAUGCACACUGAACUCUUCAACUAUCCCAAUACCAGGCUCCCCCUCUACCCCAAUACCAGGCUCCCUCUGGACAUCAUUACUAUGAUACUUCCCAUGGACACCAGAAUAUCCAGGAGUGUAGAGAGAGUCACCUAGAAGAAGUAAUUCUGAUGUCCCACUAUCAGACGAACGACUUCCAUAGUAGGCUUCAGUUUCUCGAAAAGUAAUAUCCAUAGUAACAAGCAUUCACCGCUCAGGGGGGUAAUAAUACUUGUAUCCCUUCUGAAUAGAAGGAUAACUGACAAAAACACACUUUAAUGCUCGUGGAUCUAGUUUUCCUACUGAGGGUCUAUAAUCUCGAGCAAAACAAACACACCCAAAGAUUCUAAAAGGGACCACAUAAUCAGUAGACCCCUUCAAGCACUGUAUGGGGGACUUAAACUCAAAUGUCCUGAGAGGUAUAUGAUUGAUCAAAUACACAGUGGUAAAGAUAGCCUCACCCCACAAAAACUUAGAAACUUGCAUGGUAAAGAGUAAGGACCGGACUACUUCCAAUAAGUGCCUGUUUUUUUUACUCAGCAACCCCAUUUUGAGUAGGAGUAUCAACACAAGUAGUUUGAUGAAGAAUUUUGUAAGUGUGAAGAUACGCACGAAAUUCUUGAUUAAUAUAUUUGAUGUCAUUGUCAGAAUACAGAAUCUUAAUCUUGACACCGAACUGAGUACCCACAAGUUUAUGAAACUUCUUAAAGCAGUUUAAAACUUCAGUCUUUUUCUUUAAUAAAUAUACCCAAGUUACUCGACUAAAACAAUCAAUAAAAGUAACAAACCAUCUAUAGCCCAUAGGAAUAGUAGUACUACAUGGAUUCCAUACAUCAGAGUGAAUUAUAACAAAAGGUUUAGAACUUUUAACCCCAAACAUAGGAAAUGCUCCCUUGGUGUGUUUAGCCAACUCACAAUGAUCACAAACUAAUAAAUUUUUGUUGCAAUUAUUUGAUAAAGAAGGAAAUAAACGGCUAAUAACAGAAAAAAGAAUAUAACCCAGCUUACGAUGGUAUAACAUAAGUUCUGAAGUGGCACCUCCAGCAAACAAUGCAUAACCCUUCAAAGAAGAUUCCAUCCUAUUCUCAUCAGCUGAUAGGUAAUAGAGUCUAUUGUGCAGCCUAUU
This 11530-nucleotide long non-coding RNA is filed under the name Elaeis guineensis (African oil palm). RNAcentral describes it as "long non-coding RNA (EGUI_LNC030030)". The record is from RNAcentral. Lineage: Eukaryota; Viridiplantae; Streptophyta; Magnoliopsida; Arecales; Arecaceae.